Long non-coding RNA from Oncorhynchus keta (chum salmon), 363 nucleotides. RefSeq lists it as uncharacterized. The transcript is spliced from 3 exons. The record is from RefSeq and is a predicted model, not a curated record. Lineage: Eukaryota; Metazoa; Chordata; Actinopteri; Salmoniformes; Salmonidae.
CUAAUGUCAGAACCAACAGGUUACCAUCUGGGAUCAGAACCAACAGGUUACCAUCUGAGAUCAGAACCAACAGGUUACCACCAUCUGAGAUCAGAACCAACAGGUUACCACCAUCUGAGAUCAGAACCAACAGGUUACCACCAUCUGAGAUCAGAACCAACAGGUUACCACCAUCUGAGAUCAGAACCAACAGGUUACCACCAUCUGAGAUCAGAACCAACAGGUUACCACCAUCUGAGAUCAGAACCAACAGGUUACCACCAUCUGAGAUCAGAACCAACAGGUUACCACCAUCUGAGAUCAGAACCAACAGGUUACCACCAUCUGAGAUCAGAACCAACAGGUUACCAUCUGAGAUCAGAA